RNAcentral lists this ribosomal RNA (1455 nucleotides) under Burkholderia sp. AKB7. Its description in RNAcentral is "16S ribosomal RNA". It matches the Rfam family "Bacterial small subunit ribosomal RNA". The record is from RNAcentral. Lineage: Bacteria; Pseudomonadati; Pseudomonadota; Betaproteobacteria; Burkholderiales; Burkholderiaceae.
AUUGAACGCUGGCGGCAUGCCUUACACAUGCAAGUCGAACGGCAGCACGGGUGCUUGCACCUGGUGGCGAGUGGCGAACGGGUGAGUAAUACAUCGGAACAUGUCCUGCCCAUGGGGAUAGCCCGGCGAAAGCCGGAUUAAUACCGCAUACGAUCUACGGAUGAAAGCGGGGGACCUUCGGGCCUCGCGCUAUAGGGUUGGCCGAUGGCUGAUUAGCUAGUUGGUGGGGUAAAGGCCUACCAAGGCGACGAUCAGUAGCUGGUCUGAGAGGACGACCAGCCACACUGGGACUGAGACACGGCCCAGACUCCUACGGGAGGCAGCAGUGGGGAAUUUUGGACAAUGGGCGAAAGCCUGAUCCAGCAAUGCCGCGUGUGUGAAGAAGGCCUUCGGGUUGUAAAGCACUUUCGUCCGGAAAGAAAUCCUUGGCUCUAAUACAGUCGGGGGAUGACGGUACCGGAAGAAUAAGCACCGGCUAACUACGUGCCAGCAGCCGCGGUAAUACGUAGGGUGCGAGCGUUAAUCGGAAUUACUGGGCGUAAAGCGUGCGCAGGCGGUUUGCUAAGACCGAUGUGAAAUCCCCGGGCUCAACCUGGGAACUGCAUUGGUGACUGGCAGGCUAGAGUAUGGCAGAGGGGGGUAGAAUUCCACGUGUAGCAGUGAAAUGCGUAGAGAUGUGGAGGAAUACCGAUGGCGAAGGCAGCCCCCUGGGCCAAUACUGACGCUCACGCACGAAAGCGUGGGGAGCAAACAGGAUUAGAUAACCUGGUAGUCCACGCCCUAAACGAUGUCAACUAGUUGUUGGGGAUUCAUUUCCUUAGUAACGUAGCUAACGCGUGAAGUUGACCGCCUGGGGAGUACGGUCAUUGCAUUAAAACUCAAAGGAAUUGACGGGGACCCGCACAAGCGGUGGAUGAUGUGGAUUAAUUCGAUGCAACGCGAAAAACCUUACCUACCCUUGACAUGGUCGGAAUCCCGCUGAGAGGUGGGAGUGCUCGAAAGAGAACCGGCGCACAGGUGCUGCAUGGCUGUCGUCAGCUCGUGUCGUGAGAUGUUGGGUUAAGUCCCGCAACGAGCGCAAAAAUUGUCCUUAGUUGCUACGCAAGAGCACUCUAAGGAGACUGCCGGUGACAAACCGGAGGAAGGUGGGGAUGACGUCAAGUCCUCAUGGCCCUUAUGGGUAGGGCUUCACACGUCAUACAAUGGUCGGAACAGAGGGUUGCCAACCCGCGAGGGGGAGCUAAUCCCAGAAAACCGAUCGUAGUCCGGAUUGCACUCUGCAACUCGAGUGCAUUUCGGCUGGAAUCGCUAGUAAUCGCGGAUCAGCAUGCCGCGGUGAAUACGUUCCCGGGUCUUGUACACACCGCCCGUCACACCAUGGGAGUGGGUUUUACCAGAAGUGGCUAGUCUAACCGCAAGGAGGACGGUCACCACGGUAGGAUUCAUGACUGGGGU